GAUGAACGCUGGCGGCGUGCCUAAUACAUGCAAGUCGAGCGAACAGACGAGGAGCUUGCUCCUCUGACGUUAGCGGCGGACGGGUGAGUAACACGUGGAUAACCUACCUAUAAGACUGGGAUAACUUCGGGAAACCGGAGCUAAUACCGGAUAAUAUAUUGAACCGCAUGGUUCAAUAGUGAAAGACGGUUUUGCUGUCACUUAUAGAUGGAUCCGCGCCGCAUUAGCUAGUUGGUAAGGUAACGGCUUACCAAGGCAACGAUGCGUAGCCGACCUGAGAGGGUGAUCGGCCACACUGGAACUGAGACACGGUCCAAACUCCUACGGGAGGCAGCAGUAAGGAAUCUUCCGCAAUGGGCGAAAGCCUGACGGAGCAACGCCGCGUGAGUGAUGAAGGUCUUCGGAUCGUAAAACUCUGUUAUUAGGGAAGAACAAAUGUGUAAGUAACUAUGCACGUCUUGACGGUACCUAAUCAGAAAGCCACGGCUAACUACGUG
This 497-nucleotide ribosomal RNA is filed under the name uncultured bacterium. RNAcentral's name for it is "partial 16S ribosomal RNA". It matches the Rfam family "Bacterial small subunit ribosomal RNA", at positions 28 to 507 of the family's 1533-position model. The record is from RNAcentral.